GACGUAGGGCGCAAGCGUUGUCCGGAUUUAUUGGGCGUAAAGAGCUCGUAGGCGGCUUGCCACGUCUGCCGUGAAAACCAGCAGCUUAACUGUUGGCUUGCGGUUGAUACGGGUUGGCUGGAGUUCGGUAGGGGAGACUGGAAUUCCUGGUGUAGCGGUGAAAUGCGCAGAUAUCGGGAGGAACACCAAUGGCGAAGGCAGCUCGCUGGGACGUGACUGACGCUGAGACGCGAAAGCGUGGGGAGCAAACAGG
RNAcentral lists this ribosomal RNA (253 nucleotides) under uncultured bacterium. RNAcentral's name for it is "partial 16S ribosomal RNA". It matches the Rfam family "Bacterial small subunit ribosomal RNA", at positions 524 to 776 of the family's 1533-position model. The record is from RNAcentral.